AAAAAAACGGCUUCAUAUGACUUCCCCAUUAAAGAACAUCCAGUAUACUUUAUUCCUCUGAAAUACAGGUUUCACUGAGCUGCAACAAAUCCUCCACAGAACCUCACACCAACAAUGGUGAUUACAGGAGACCCAUUUGGUGAAAGCAGCAUU
Long non-coding RNA from Xyrauchen texanus (razorback sucker), 153 nucleotides. RefSeq lists it as uncharacterized. The transcript is spliced from 3 exons. The record is from RefSeq and is a predicted model, not a curated record. Lineage: Eukaryota; Metazoa; Chordata; Actinopteri; Cypriniformes; Catostomidae.